This 1217-nucleotide ribosomal RNA is filed under the name uncultured Rhizaria. RNAcentral's name for it is "SSU rRNA". It matches the Rfam family "Eukaryotic small subunit ribosomal RNA", at positions 577 to 1804 of the family's 1831-position model. The record is from RNAcentral.
CGGUAAUUCCUGCUCCAAUAGCGUAUACUAAAGUUGUUGCAGUUAAAAAGCUCGUAGUUGGAUUUCUGCGGGGACGGAGCGGCCGGACGCAACUUGCGUCUCGAGCUAGCGCUUUCCCCGCAUCCUGCCGCGAACCGUGCUACCAUUAGUUUGGUGGCGCUGGGGAUCGGCUCGAUUACUUUGAGAAAAAUAGAGUGUUCAAAGCAGGCCACACGCCUUGAAUAAGUUAGCAUGGAAUAAUGACUAAGGACUUCGGUUCUAUUCUGUUGGUGUUCGGGACUGAAGUAAUGAUUGAUAGGGACAGUUGGGGCGGUCUGUAUUCCAAAGCGAGAGGUGAAAUUCUUAGACCUUCGGAAGACAAACAGCUGCGAAAGCGUUCCGCAAGGAUGUUCCCUUUGAUCAAGAACGAAAGUUGGGGGAUCGAAGACGAUCAGAUACCGUCGUAGUCUCAACUAUAAACUAUACCAGCUAGGGAUCGGCCAACGUUUAAUUAUUCGACUUGGUCGGCACCUUAUGAGAAAUCAAAGCAUCUGGGUUCCGGGGGGAGUAUGGUCGCAAGGCUGAAACUUAAAGGAAUUGACGGAAGGGCACCACCAGCCGUGGAGCCUGUGGCUUAAUUUGACUCAACACGGGAAAACUUACCAGGUCCAGACAUAGGAAGGAUUGACAGAUUGAUAGCUCUUUCUUGAUUCUGUGGGUGGUGGUGCAUGGCCGUUUUUAGUUGGUGGAGUGAUUUGUCUGCUUAAUUGCGUUAACGAACGAGACCCCAGCCUGCUAAAUAGCGCGGCCGAGCUUUGCUCGGUGCGAGCUUCUUAGAGGGACCAUGAUGCGCGAUAGCACAAGGAAGUUUGGGGCAACAACAGGUCUGUGAUGCCCUUAGAUGUUCUGGGCCGCACACGGGCUACACUGGCGCCUGCAACGAGCAUAUCAGCUGGCCCGAGAGGGUCUUGGCUAAUCUUUUGAACCGGCGCCGUGCUUGGGAUUGACCUUUGCAAUUGUUGGUCAUGCAACGAGGAAUGCCUUGUAAACGCGAGUCAUCAGCUCGCAUUGAAUACGUCCCUGCCCUUUGUACACACCGCCCGUCGCUCCUACCGAUGAAUGUUCCGAUGAAAUUUUCGGAGAGCGCCAGAGAACGGGGCUCUGCCUUGCAGAUCUGGAGGCUCAAAGUCACUUAAAUCUGAACAUUUCGAGGAAGGAGAAGUCGUAACAAGGUAACC